This 497-nucleotide ribosomal RNA is filed under the name uncultured bacterium. Its description in RNAcentral is "partial 16S ribosomal RNA". It matches the Rfam family "Bacterial small subunit ribosomal RNA", at positions 28 to 507 of the family's 1533-position model. The record is from RNAcentral.
GAUGAACGCUGGCGGCGUGCCUAAUACAUGCAAGUCGAGCGAACAGACGAGGAGCUUGCUCCUCUGACGUUAGCGGCGGACGGGUGAGUAACACGUGGAUAACCUACCUAUAAGACUGGGAUAACCUCGGGAAACCGGAGCUAAUACCGGAUAACAUGUUGAACCGCAUGGUUCAACAGUGAAAGACGGUCUUGCUGUCACUUAUAGAUGGAUCCGCGCCGCAUUAGCUAGUUGGUAAGGUAACGGCUUACCAAGGCAACGAUGCGUAGCCGACCUGAGAGGGUGAUCGGCCACACUGGAACUGAGACACGGUCCAGACUCCUACGGGAGGCAGCAGUAGGGAAUCUUCCGCAAUGGGCGAAAGCCUGACGGAGCAACGCCGCGUGAGUGAAGAAGGUCUUCGGAUCGUAAAACUCUGUUAUUAGGGAAGAACAAAUGUGUAAGUAACUAUGCACGUCCUGACGGUACCUAAUCAGAAAGCCACGGCUAACUACGUG